ACCACUAGACCAAAUGCCCUUGUUGCUAUAUUCCUCAUAACAAAUUAUUCGUACUUAAGAUACCUGGGAUCAUCGCUGCCAUGCGGCCCCGGUUCCUGCCCCGUCGACUUCAAUCCCCACCUCAUUCCUCUCCUCACGUCUCGCCUCCGGCGCCGCGCCGCCGUCGCCUCGUCUCCUCAUCGGAACUCCUCGUCCGCCUCAACGCGCCUCAUCCUACUUCGUCCACCGCAUGCUCGUACGGCUGCGGCAGUUAGGGACGAAGCUGUGUUUGCACGGUCUCUCAAAUCCCUGGAUCUUGGGGUGCGGAGCCCUUUUUCGCCAUCCAAGGAAGUUUCUUCGACAGAAACAUGCGGCUCAGGGCGACGGCGAUGACGGCGGCGGCUGCCGUGCGAAGCGCGGCGAGCUUCUUCUGCAGGCAAACCGCCGCGCCUAACUCUGGCAAACGUGGGGAGCAGAGCAGCAUUUCCUGCAGUGAGGUGGAGCAGGGUGUCUCUUCUCAACUUCUCUUGGGCUGGAAGAUGCUCCUAAAUAGCAGCGCUCUCUGAUGAUCCGGUUGAUAUCCAACCCCUAAUGACAGUCGCAGAAGCUCAUCGAUUUUUCUUUUGUUCUGGAGAAGAACCUCAUCAUUAUUGUUAUUUCGGAGAUGAAGGCCAUCAAGUAUUGUUUGUCAGUAUACCUUGUGCACGACUGACUAGAUGAUGCUUGUGCCUUUUCUCCCUGUUGUCGCCUGCCAAGCAGAAUUACGGCGCUCAUGACGGUAUCCUAUCUUUGUUCGGUCUGAUUUCAACUGCAUAUGGUGGAUUCAGGUAUGUGGUUUAGUUUUUCACUAAUUGUUUCCAUUUCACAUGGCCUAGAUUGCAGAUCAUUUUGUGGUGGAUCUUGUCACAGAUGGCCAUGACAUGCCAGGGCAGCUCCAAGAGGUGGACAGUUCAUGCCCUGAACUAGGUGAGCACAUUCCUGGAGGUUGAGUCAACUAGCAGAUCUUAUUUCUUAUUAUCCUCUUAUUUCUACUCCCUCAACCUCUAUCCAGCAGAAAAUGGGAUGCCCGUGUGGUUUAUCCUGCCUGGAACAAUCGGAACAUGGCAUCAAAGCACGCUUGCAGAAUUUCGAUGCGUGGGUUAUGGAUCAUUCUGCAGGUAGCAGGCGGUCCUCCAACAAACACCAAUUACACAGCUCACAUUUGUUUUCUUUUGGUUGCUGCCUAUCAAGUCGACAAUGUAGAUUAAUUCUGAGUAAUGUUAAUCGUGCGUAUGCUUUGCCACCAAUUGUAGGGACAUCACCUGCUUGUAAGCUCACUUAUUGAUGUCUGUUGCACAAACAAGAUGAAACAACAUGAACUUGUCUAUGACACGAAUGGCUACGCCAUAUAAUCAUAGCACAAAACUUGCUCCAUAUUGUUUAGAUGAUCACCGGCUUUGCUUCCAUUGGCCUUUCAAUUCUCAACUAUAAAUGGAGUACGCCCAAAGAGCUGAACGGCGUGCAACUUUUCUUCCUUUCUCGUCUCUUCCAUGUCCUGAAGAAAUAUACCAUCACUCAUUCGCACCAUCCAUCACAAACAUGUCUUGCCAUCUAAGAUCUACAAGUCUGCCUUCUAGGCCUCAUUUUAGUGAGAUCAAAGCAGAAGAAGAGUUGCACAGCCUAAAAACACACUUCUGUAGGCAGCCCGCUAGCAUCGUCACACUGAGUGAUGGUUUGAGGAAGCUUGCACAAGUCUACAACUGUGUUGAGGAGAUUGUGCGCUUGCCAAGGAACCAAGUUGACCUCUGCUUGCCCCAGCAAAAGAAAAUGGUAGAGAAAGAACUGGAACAGUCCCUUGUGCUGCUUGAUAUCUGCAAUGCUAUGCAAGAGAACUUUGCCGAGUUGAAGAUGAGCAUCCAAGAGCUGCAACUAGUCUUUAAAAGAGGAGAUCAUGCCACUGCCAAUCUCAAAAUUGACUCUUUCUUCCGUUCAGCAACGAAUAUGCAAAAGCAUUUCAAGAAAUACAGCAGCAAAGCUACUCCUGAAGGUCUCAGCCUUGUCAGGCUACUAGUAGAAGCCAGAGAGAUAGCUGUCUCCCUGAGGUGUUGAGUUCAUGCUUAUCUUGAAGCCUACGUGGCCCAGAUUAGCAUUGGACACGUUUUUGGAGGUUUGCGUGUCAACUUUUCUUCUCAUCAACUGCGAUUCUUGCUCACCACCUUAUAGCAGAAAACAACUCUGUAUACUCGUGCAGUCCGUUUUGUCGGGCAUAAUUUAAACAUCACAUACUGGCAAUACCAAAUAGCAACCUGUCUUCCUGUACUAUCAAGUAGUCGUGCAGACCACAGUUUGCCUACAUUUGGAACGUGUCAAAGGUGCAUUAUUUAGCACUUAGCAAUGCGUGCUGUUUUAAACUAAGAUAGACAAGGCAUCAACUUGUCUGAGGCUGUGGUGGCCAUGUGAGUACAUGGGUUCUGCAGAGAUAAAGAUACUUUCUGUCUGUUGUGCCGUAUUCUCAAAUUUCACAUGUAAUUGAGCAACUUUAACUCUGCUACUGAAGGAUCACACCACAGAUUCUUACAGAAACAGGUAUUACCUUUUAAUAUCUGGAAUCUCGCAAGCUAGAACCUGUUGCACUGAGAUUUAUAAGUUGGUUUUCGUAAGUUGCAUAUGUUUUAAGCAAGUAAACGUUGCAGCGGAAGAAGUGAAGCAUCUAUUGAUGAUUAUAAUGCAUGUGUGGUGGAUCAUGCUGCAGCCAGCACACAUACCAGCACAGCAACAGUGCUGCACCGCAAUUGAGGCGAAGGUGCAGCUGACAUAAGUUGAGAAGCAAAUUGACAGGUUGUUCGAAGGUUGAUGAAACAAGACAGCGAUGCUCCACGAGGUGUUGAGUUCAUGCUUAUCUAGAUGUUGUCUGGAUCUAUCAUGACUGAGCGUGUUUCUGUAGGUUAAGUCAACUCUUUCCUCUCUUAACAACUUACAGACACUGUGCCCUAGGGGGUGCACUAGCCAUAUGAGAUGUAAUCUGAUGUAUCCUAUGCUUUCAUGAAUCUUUCUCCCUCGUGCUAUGGACAAAUCAAACAUGACCCCCCGUGCAUUCCAUUUUUUUUCUCUGGAUCAACAGCAAUGACAGAUAGGAAACAUUAAUUAGUAUCUCCCCAUCUAAUAUUAUGAAGUACUCGUGAAGACUGCACAUUCUAACAGUUGUUUGUUAUCAUCUCGGCUGUUAGUAGGUUAAAACAGAAACCUGCAGUAUUAAGCAAGAUGGACCGGUAAUUUAUCCAAUCAAAGUUGUUCUAUAUUCUCUUCUCAGUGAAAAUAGGGCACAGUGUCACUUUGUGUCCGAGACAGAAAAAAGAGUUUACUUUCUCUAUUACCGCACCUAGAUUAACGGCCGGGCAUUCCUUUUUACUCUCUGAAACAACUGAAAAAUGACAGAUAGGAAACACUAAUUAGAUACAUUUAUCUCAUUAUCUAUAUUAUGAAUUACUCGUGAAAUAAUAAUUGGAUCUUAUUGUAGGUGGAUGAAAUUUGCCAGUGGUACUCCCUGAGGUGUCGAGUUCAUGCUUAUCUUGAAGCUGCCUGGCCCAUAUCAGCAUUGAACACGUUUUUGGAGAUAUCAGAGACAUACCAGCAAAGCGACAGUGCUGCAUGGCAAUUGAGGCGAAGGUGCAGCUGACAUCAGUUGAGAACCAAAUUGACAGGCUGUUGGAAGGUAAUGUCUUCUGGUCCUUCCAACAUACACCUCAGUUGCACGACUUGCAUUCUAGUUUAUUUUUCUUCUGUUUGCUGAUCUGGAUUCUCUGUUAAGCUAAGCACUUGUGCCGAUGCUUUGCCUCCAAUCGUCGAGACAUGGCAUCCACUUAGUGAUGCUUGUCUCCUUAACAAGAUUGUAACAGAUAGAGAUGCUUAUGCUGCUCCAAAAAAUUGAUUCAUCAUUGGCAAUACAUGGAGCGUGGUGCACAAUAUUCCUUGCCAGCAAGACUGCUUUUGUUUCUUGACUAUAAAUAGAGUGCACCACAAUGGUUGAGCACCAACAAAGCGCAUCUGCUCUUCACUUUCUCUUCCAUUACGAACAUACACACAUCAUCAGUUCAUCCAUUAGAAACAUGGUUUGCCAUCAAAGAUCCGCAAGCUUGCCUUACUCCAGUGAAUCCCAAGUGGAGGUGGAGCUGCAGGGCCUGAAGUCAUGCAUCUCUUCACCCUCCGCAACCAUCGACACAAUGUGUGGUGGUUACGCAAGGCUUGGAGACAUCUACAAGUGCAUAGAGGAGAUCAUGGGCUUGCCCAGCAACCAAGUUGGCCUCUCCUUCCCCCAAAACAAGAAAAUGGUGGAAGAGGAACUGGAGCGAUCCCUCCUGCUGAUUGAUCUCUGCAAUUCAAUGCAAGAGAAUUUAGCAGAGCUGAAGAUGAGUACCCAGGAGCUGCAACUGGUUCUCAAAAGAUGAGAUGAUGCGUCUGUUCAACUCAAGGUUGAGUCUUUCAUUCGUCUCGCCAAGCAGGCGCAGAAGCCUUUCAAGAAGAUUGCAAGCAGCAAAGCUAGUGGUGAGGAUUGCAGGCUGAUCAGGCUACUGGCGGAAGCCAGAGAGAUGUCUGUCUCUCUACUCGAGUCCACGUCGCAGCUGUUGCCGAAGCAGUUCGCCACCACCAAAGGAAGCAAAUGGUCUCUUGUCCAGAAGAGAAGGGUCGUUUGCGAGGAGGAACAGUUGCAAGCGCUAGAGCGAAGCAUGGGAGAUGUUGAAAACGGCGUUGAGCUUCUGUUCAGGAGAUUGAUCCAAAGCAGGGUUUCGCUCCUGAACAUUCUCAGCUCCUAGACACUCUCAGGCCUUGUUUCUCUAGCAUAUUGCGAUUGGCAUCCACCUUUUAAAGGAUUCACCAGUCAUAUAGAACCUUUCUAGCUUGUGUACUGAGUACACUACUAAAUGUACAUACAAAUGGUCAGUUGA
Long non-coding RNA from Triticum aestivum (bread wheat), 4901 nucleotides. RefSeq lists it as uncharacterized. Lineage: Eukaryota; Viridiplantae; Streptophyta; Magnoliopsida; Poales; Poaceae. The record is from RefSeq and is a predicted model, not a curated record. The transcript is spliced from 3 exons.